AAUUGCAGAAUCCCGUGAACCAUCGAGUCUUUGAACGCAAGUUGCGCCUGAAGCCAUUAGGUUGAGGGCACGCCUGCCUGGGUGUCACACAUCGUUACCUCUUAUGUACACAUGUCUCGUGUUAGAUAGUGUGUUGGGGUGCAAGAUGACUUCCCGUGAGUUAUGUCUCGUGGUUGGUUGAAAAUCGAGUUCACGGUUGAGCGUGCCAUGGUAAAAUGGUGGAUGAGUAAUGCUCGAGACCAAUCAUGUGCGCGUCUCAGACUGGUUUGGACCCUUGACCCAGUGCGUCUUGUAUGUGGACGUCUUUAACGAGACCUCAGGUCAGGCGGGGCUACCCGCUGAGUUUAAGCAUAUCAAUAAGCGGAGGAAAAGAAACUAACAAGGAUUCCCUUAGUAACGGCGAGCGAACUGGGAAGAGCCCACCAUGAAAAUCGAUUGCCUUUGGCAUUCGAAUUGUAGU
Molecule: ribosomal RNA, 460 nt
Filed under: Rhynchosia viscosa
Lineage: Eukaryota; Viridiplantae; Streptophyta; Magnoliopsida; Fabales; Fabaceae
Description: eukaryotic LSU rRNA
Rfam family: Eukaryotic large subunit ribosomal RNA (bases 312-460)
Source: RNAcentral